UAGGUUCAGAGACACAAACUCCAGAGCAUCAGUAGAUUCUAGUCUCAGCAGUCAGAGUUAGAAAUGAGUCCUCAUCUUUUGAGGACACAAUCAUUAUUUUAUUAUCUCAUUAAUUAAUUUAUUAGUUGGAGUUAGUUGGGGACAUGUCCCAUCAACUCCUUAUUCAGACAGUCAUGUUUAGAGCCUUUUCAGACUAUAGAAUGUUCAAAUGAUUUAUUUUAGUUGUUUUGAGUAUUUCGUACCCCACCCAUAUGUUAUAUCUUUAUCAGAUCUUA
RNAcentral lists this long non-coding RNA (275 nucleotides) under Capsicum annuum. Its description in RNAcentral is "long non-coding RNA (CANN_LNC007247)". Lineage: Eukaryota; Viridiplantae; Streptophyta; Magnoliopsida; Solanales; Solanaceae. The record is from RNAcentral.